This 497-nucleotide ribosomal RNA is filed under the name uncultured bacterium. RNAcentral describes it as "partial 16S ribosomal RNA". It matches the Rfam family "Bacterial small subunit ribosomal RNA", at positions 28 to 507 of the family's 1533-position model. The record is from RNAcentral.
GAUGAACGCUGGCGGCGUGCCUAAUACAUGCAAGUCGAGCGAACAGACGAGGAGCUUGCUCCUUUGACGUUAGCGGCGGACGGGUGAGUAACACGUAGGUACCCUCCCUAUAAGACUGGGAUAAUUUCGGGAAACCGGAGCUAACACCGGAUAAUAUUUCGAACCGCAUGGUUCGAUAGUGAAAGAUGGCUUUGCUAUCUCUUAUAGAUGCACCUGGGCGGUAUUAGAUAGUUGGUCAGGUAACGGCUUACCAAGGGAACGAUACGUAGCCGACCUGAGAGGGUGAUCGGCCACAUUGGAACUGGACCAGGGUCCAGACUCCUACGGUAGGCCGCAGUAGGGAAUCUGCCGCAAAAGGCGAAAGCAUGGCGGAGCGACGCCGCGUGAGUUAUGAAGGUCUUCGGAUCGUAAAGCUCGGUUACUGGGGAUGAACAAACUUGGAAGGAGAUGUGGAGGGCGUGACGGUACCGAAUCAGAAAGCAACGGCUAACUACGUG